AUGGUUUGUCUUUUUAUUCUAUGUAUUUAUCGCAGGUAUAAGGACAAAGAAGAAUGCGGUGAAAAUUGUACUGUCAGUUCUAGGAAGUGGUGUUUUGGUACUUAUAAGCAUUUGGUUGGCAUGGAUAAAACUGAAAGAUUCGAUGAAAUCUCCCAAGCAACGAACAAUUUCUCUGAAACAUGUACGAUUGGACAAGGGGGCUUUGGUAAAGUUUACAAGGGGAUGUUGGGUGGUCAAGAAGUUGCUGUCAAGAGGCUAAGUAAGGAUUCUCAACAAGGAACAAAGGAAUUCAAGAAUGAAGUCAUUCUAAUUGCCAAAUUGCAGCACAGAAACUUGGUUCUUCUUGGAUGUUUUGGGGAGGGAGAUGAGAAGUUGUUGAUCUAUGAGUAUCUACCAAACAAGAGCUUAGAUACUACUCUCUUUGACGAUUCAAGAAAGUUGAUGCUAGAUUGGGCAACAAGGUUUAAUAUAAUCAAAGGGGUUGCUAGGGGACUUCUCUACCUCCACUGA
This 510-nucleotide ribosomal RNA is filed under the name Triticum aestivum (bread wheat). RNAcentral describes it as "partial small subunit ribosomal RNA". Lineage: Eukaryota; Viridiplantae; Streptophyta; Magnoliopsida; Poales; Poaceae. The record is from RNAcentral.